RNAcentral lists this ribosomal RNA (636 nucleotides) under uncultured bacterium. RNAcentral's name for it is "bacterial SSU rRNA". The stretch from base 1 to 534 matches the Rfam family "Bacterial small subunit ribosomal RNA", at positions 338 to 873 of the family's 1533-position model. The record is from RNAcentral.
CCUACGGGAGGCAGCAGUGAGGAAUAUUGGACAAUGGGCGCAAGCCUGAUCCAGCCAUGCCGCGUGCAGGAAGACGGUCCUAUGGAUUGUAAACUGCUUUUGUACAGGAAGAAACACUCCCUCGUGAGGGAGCUUGACGGUACUGUAAGAAUAAGGAUCGGCUAACUCCGUGCCAGCAGCCGCGGUAAUACGGAGGAUCCAAGCGUUAUCCGGAAUCAUUGGGUUUAAAGGGUCCGUAGGCGGUUUAAUAAGUCAGUGGUGAAAUCUGGUCGCUCAACGAUCAAACGGCCAUUGAUACUGUUAGACUUGAAUUAUUAGGAAGUAACUAGAAUAUGUAGUGUAGCGGUGAAAUGCUUAGAUAUUACAUGGAAUACCAAUUGCGAAGGCAGGUUACUACUAAUGGAUUGACGCUGAUGGACGAAAGCGUGGGGAGCGAACAGGAUUAGAUACCCUGGUAGUCCACGCCGUAAACGAUGGAUACUAGCUGUCGUAGNAUACUGAGUGNGUAGACGAAGUAGAGUAAGUAGUACCACCGUCGGGUAAGGUACGUUCGUUCGAGAAGUUAGUUAAACGUACGAAGUUAGAGUUAGUUACGGACGUUGAGACGAGCGACGGACGACGACGAGGGAGGAGGAG